GCAAGCAAAUAUUAGAAGAGUUAUGUUUAAAUGUUUACAUUGCAUGGUUCAACAAACACCUCUAGCGAACACAGUGUGUUCAGACAAAUACUUUACCGACCAAAAGGGGAGAGGGGGCCUGGGUUACCUAACUUACACCUUUACUACUUGUCAGCACAACUUGCACAGAUUAGAGAACUUUGCAUGAACCCCAUAUGUAUGUGCAGCAGCAAGAGCCCCAUUGACAUUUUUUGAAACACUUUGCAUGAAGGAAACCCCUCAAAAAGGCCCGAUUACAACCAUCUAAUCACAACUAACUGCCCCCGACAGAGAGACACUCACUUAUGUUACUUAAUGGGAAAAAGACUUACAACAGACGUUGGAGGGUGGGGACUAGCAAGGCAUCUGGGAGACAGCAGCUAAAGUCACUAUUUGCGUGACUUUACAGGAACAGUUAUAUAAGACGAUCAUGAGGUGAAAUACCACUCAAACAAUUCAGAAUGGGGAACACUCCUACAGAUGUUUGCUGGUGGGGUGGCUGGGCAAAAGGGACAUAUAUCCACAUGACAUUACUCGGAAAAAAAAAAUAUGGAUGUUUUAGAGCAGUAAAACAUAUAAUGCUAAUGAUAUCAUUUGUGAAAGGGCAGUUUAUCUGUGAAAAAUGCAAACUAACAAAUAUGAAUGCUAAUUGUGGCCAGUGUUUGUGGCUACUAAAAAAGACUGGACAUACCCCAUUUUGCAUACCCUGGGUUGUCUACUUUUGCAAAUGGUAUUCCAUGAUGGGGGUAUUUUUCAUAACUUGGCUGCUAUACGGUCUCAAAUGCAACAUAACCAAUCUAGCAAAUUUUAUGUGUAUAAACUGAAAAGGGGGAACAUGCUAUAUUUGACCCUGUAAUUUUUAAAAACCCAAAAAACCUGUACAUCGGGGGUACUGUUGUAUUUGUGAGACACAG
This is a non-coding RNA of Pelobates cultripes (western spadefoot toad), 932 nucleotides long. The record is from the annotation of a GenBank genome assembly. Lineage: Eukaryota; Metazoa; Chordata; Amphibia; Anura; Pelobatidae.